Non-coding RNA from Salmo salar (Atlantic salmon), 4258 nucleotides. The record is from RefSeq and is a predicted model, not a curated record. Lineage: Eukaryota; Metazoa; Chordata; Actinopteri; Salmoniformes; Salmonidae.
UUGCCCUAGCACUACACAGCUGACUGAAAUAACCAGCUAAUCAUCAAACUUAGAUUAUCUGCAUCAGCUGUGUAGUGCUAGGGCAAAAAACAAAACUUGGCCCCCGGGGGGGGGGUGCUUCGGAGCAUGGCUGGCUCUAGGACCCAGUGAGAGAGACACAAGGGGGUGUGGUGAUAUUUUUUUUUAUCUGACCACAGAACCUUCUAGCUUGCUGCUGCUGCCUCCUUGAACUGACGACAGCUCUGACAGUGCCUUGUGCCUCUCACCUGGCCCCUUGGAACAGAGACACCCCCAGCCACCCGGAACCUGACGGCGGGCCCCCUGUCCAUGGUCCCGUGGCCCUCUGUGUCCUGACAUGCCAGGCAGCAGCAGCACAUGUGUAGCCCCAGCAGCCCAGCCAUGGAGCAGCAAGCCUGGAUACUGAGGGGCUUCCUGGCUCAAGUGGAGAGCAAGGAGGCUGAGGAGGAGGAAGCGGAGAGUGGCUUCACAGGGGAGUUCUCGAGGCUCAAACUCCAGUCCACCAAGUACCGCACUGACAAAACCUACCCCACCAAAGUAGCGGAAAAGCAGGAGAAUGUGAAGAAGAACCGAUACAAGGACAUUGUUCCCUUUGACCACAGCAGAGUGAAGCUGUCCCUUACCACCUCCAAGAAUGACAAUGACUACAUCAAUGCCAGCUUCAUUAAGGGAGUGUCAGGGGCCAGGGCCUACAUUGCCACUCAGGGCCCUCUACCCCACACCGUGCUGGACUUCUGGAGGAUGCUCUGGGAGUACAACAUAGAGGUCAUAGUGAUGGCUUGCAGGGAGUAUGAGAUGGGCAGGAAAAAGUGUGAACGCUACUGGCCGGAGAAGCAAGAGGAGCCAUUUGUUUGUGACCCGUUUACUAUUUACUGCGACUCAGAGGAAAGUAAAGGAGACUACGUGAGCAGAAACUUGAGGGUGACCUAUCGUAAUUGGUGCCGGACCCUGAGACAGCUGCACUAUAUCAACUGGCCCGACCAUGGUGUCCCUGACACCAUCCCUCCCAUCCUGGAGCUGCUGCAGGAGAUGAGAUCCUACCAGGCCCAUGGGGAUGUGCCCAUCUGCAUACACUGCAGUGCUGGCUGUGGAAGAACAGGAGCACUGUGUGCCAUCGACUACACCUGGAACCUUGUGAAAACACAGCGGCUCAAAGAAGACUUCAGCAUCUAUGACUUGGUUCAGGACAUGCGAACACAGAGGCCUUCUGUGGUUCAGACCAAGGAACAGUACGAGCUGGUGUACAGAACCAUUAAGUUCCUGUUUGAGAAGUAUCUGCAGUCCAUGGCACCAGCACAGCCUUCCUGCACAGAGGUGGUGAGACAGACAGCAUGUUUUGACGGGGAACAGUUAUAUCAAGAUGAGGUGCCAGCGGCCCCCUCACCCCCUACAGCCAGUGACAGUGAGCUCUCUGACCUCAGCGAGGCGUCUGAAACUGAACAGGAACCAGAACCUGAGCCACAGCAUCAAAUAGAACCACAGACAGAGCACAGGCACCCAGAUAGGGAGGAGCCUGAUAGGAUAUCAAAUCACGUCUUACCAGUGGCCUUCUCUGCCUCAGCAGCGGUGCAUGAUGGUGACCCACUGUCUGACGCGGCUACGUGCUCCCCCUCAGUCAUCCUCAAUGACCUGAGAGCCAGGGACAGGCAGAGGGAACAGCAGAGACCAGACUCCCUACCAACACAGACUAUUAACCAGAAACCACAACCCCUACAGACACAGACUAAUAGCAUGCCCAUGAACCAGAGACCACCAUACCUACUACCGACAAAGCCCGAUACAUUGCCCACCAGCCAGGACCUGAGACAAGAGCCCAGUCUCAGCAUCCCCAUCAUAACCUCUCAGGCACUCAGGACUCAGGAAGUCUGUCAGAGAGCCAUGGAGCAAAAGAAGGUGGAGAGUGAUGGAGAGAUCACCCGACUGGUACCACCAGUGCUCUCUGCGGUUUCCAUCUCCAACCCCCUCUGUCUCACUGUGGAGGACCUCUACUUUUUACCUGACUCUUCAAUGACCUCACCCCUGGCUGCUGAGGCUCCCAGAGGGGCUGAUAAUGAGGAGGAGCUGGCUCCACUGAGCAAGUUGACAGAGAACCCCUGUUUCAAUGGUUCAAGUAUGACUCUUAACGACCAGUCGAUGGAACUGUCAGCCCUUGUCAUCACAAACGCUGCCCCAGGUGCGCUUGUAGCUUUCUCGGAUGAAGACAGUCCACCUCCAUUACCUGAGAGAACCCCUGAAUCAUAUGUACUGGCUGCUGGAACAGAGCGUCCUGAUAACAUCUCUAAACCUGAGAGGUUAGAGGUCAUCCUCCCUCCUAAUGCUGCAACUGAAGCCCUCAGGGGGAACGGGAAUCCUCCCUCGCCUAUCCCCCCACUGCCAGAGAGAACGCCAGAGUCCUUUGUGUUGGCCAAUACUGCCGGUAGGAGCACUACUGUCUUCCCAUCCCUCUCAAUCCCCGUGGAGAUGGUUGUCCAGAAGUCAGAAGAGAGAGAGUGGCCUGGACGUUCAGCGGACACUCCUGCUCUGGUGGAUACGAUAUCUUCGACGAGGAGUAAAAGCUUGAAAGUAAAAAUGACAACACUCUCAGUGUCACCCCAGGAUACAGUAUCACCCCCAGUUACAGUAUCACUCCCAGUUACAGUGCCACAACCCGUUACAUUGCCUCCCCCGGUUAGAUAUUCUAUUCCUGCUCCCUGUUCAUCAGUAAACCUUCCUCCUCCCCCUCCACCUCCCUAUCCUCUGGCCCCUUCUCUCUCACCUCCAGGCUCAGAGAAUCUGACUCCCCCUCUACCUGAGAGAACCCCAGAAUCCUUCUUCCUGGUCACUCAAGAAGUUGAUCAGAACAGUGCCCCCUGCAUGCAGAGUCAGAGCAACAGCCAGACUACAUCCACACAGCAGAGGAUCGGUACGUCCUCAGAGUGGGCAGGGAACUCCCAACCCAAAAGAUCCCUGGAUGGAAUCAUGAAUCGGAGCAACAGCCAGACUACAUCCACACAGCAGAGGAUCGGUACGUCCUCAGAGUGGGCAGGGAACUCCCAACCCAAAAGAUCCCUGGAUGGAAUCAUGAAUCGGAGAAAGAGUGUCCACGCAAAGAGUUCACUGCAAGAGCCCCUGACUACUGUUCCUCUGGUUGCUCAAGCUGUUGUGGCUAUGACUGUAGGAGGAAGUGCUGAAAUUAGGCUUCAGCAGCCUGUGUACAACAUCACCUCAACCAGCACUGGGACUACUGAAGACAAAUCAGACAAGAACAGUGGGAAGGCCUUGUCUGGUACAAAGGUAAUGACUGUAGCCUGAAGAAAUUUAAACUCAGACAGAAACCAGAGACUGCCCCUCCACCAGUACCAACCCACUCUGGACCAUCUCCUCCUUAUGGUACCUCUGCCUCAUCAUCAGUGUUCACAUUUGGAUUUGGGACUCGUUUUGGGAAGCCUAAAGGGCCAAGGAGUUAUCCUGAGACGUGGGUGUAAGACAGCCAGUCAACAAAGCUGGAUAUGUCUGGCCACUGUCCUCAGAUCACAGGGCUGGAACCCUGCAUGUGGCUACUAGCUACUGGCCACUCAACUGGACUAGGAAUGGUCCCUUGAGGACUUUUGACAUUGUGAAGGAAGAACAUCAUUCCAAGAAGACAUGGGGAAUCAUGUAGCCUUCUCCCUGUGUUCUGAGACGACAUGAACACUGUCUUGCAAACUGCUGUCACGGCCCAAUGAUCAACCUCGGAUUAGCUUUAAAUUGGAGCACCUGCUAUUCAUGACAAAUUGAUCGUACUGUAGUUCUUUAUCCGUGCCUGAAGGGAGAACUUGUGCCUCUGAAAUGUGGUGGAAGGAUGCAAUCAAAUGUAGGCAAAGGAUGGAUGGAUGGAAAGAACGGAAGGUUGAGUUGAUAAAUGUUAGAGGGCUACUUUUGUGUAUUUUGCCUGAUAAAUACAGUAAGGUACUUUGAAUAGUUGUUAACACGUCACUUAAUACAUGUUACCAAAUAGUUUUAUAUGCUGAUGUUUAUAUAGGCUCCUUCUGAUCCAGACAAAAUCUACAUGUACACCUGGACUGUACAGAGUGAUGAACUUUGUUUUAAGAGUAAUAUAUUUGUACUGGUAUUAUUUUUCAUGGUGGUGUGAGAUAAGUGUGAGAUAAGCGGACAGGUCUGUGUUGUGCAUACAUCACAUUCAUUGUUGUAACUUGGUGGAUGUGUUUUCUAUAUGGGCUAUAAUUUAAAAGUAAAGAAACCACAUAUUGCUCUAAAUUUA